GACGAACGCUGGCGGCGUGCUUAACACAUGCAAGUCGAGCGGAAAGGCCCUUUCGGGGGUACUCGAGCGGCGAACGGGUGAGUAACACGUGAGUAAUCUGCCCCAGGCUCUGGGAUAGCCACCGGAAACGGUGAUUAAUACCGGAUAUGACCACUUGAUGCAUGUUGGGUGGUGGAAAGUUUUUUCGGCUUGGGAUGUGCUCGCGGCCUAUCAGCUUGUUGGUGGGGUAAUGGCCUACCAAGGCUUUGACGGGUAGCCGGCCUGAGAGGGUGACCGGCCACACUGGGACUGAGACACGGCCCAGACUCCUACGGGAGGCAGCAGUGGGGAAUAUUGGACAAUGGGCGGAAGCCUGAUCCAGCAACGCCGCGUGAGGGAUGACGGCCUUCGGGUUGUAAACCUCUUUCAGUACCGACGAAGCGAGAGUGACGGUAGGUACAGAAGAAGGACCGGCCAACUACGUGCCAGCCGCCGCCGUAAAAC
RNAcentral lists this ribosomal RNA (483 nucleotides) under uncultured bacterium. RNAcentral's name for it is "bacterial SSU rRNA". It matches the Rfam family "Bacterial small subunit ribosomal RNA", at positions 28 to 526 of the family's 1533-position model. The record is from RNAcentral.